Molecule: small RNA, 1585 nt
Filed under: Rattus norvegicus (Norway rat)
Lineage: Eukaryota; Metazoa; Chordata; Mammalia; Rodentia; Muridae
Description: uncharacterized LOC108351983
Source: RNAcentral
UGUCACAAUUGCCAUGCUUUUGUGUGAGCUUCUGCCUUCUGGUGUCUGGAAACCACUUUUCUUGAAAGUCUUUUACCACCUCCGGCUCUCGGACCCUGUUCUGCAAUGAUCCCUGAGCUUGGGGGUGAGACGUAAAUGAUCGGUUUGGAGCUGAGGACUCUACAGUCUUUAGUUCCCUGCACGUCACCCCCAGGUUGAAAAGAUGUCAGUUGUCCUGGCAAGUUCUGUGUCAAGUUGACAGACACUAGAGUCAUCAGUGAAGAGGGAGCCUCAGUUGAGAAGAUCUUGGAUAAGAUGGGGCGCCUGCUUAGAGCCCCAGAGGACCAGGCUAUCAUUGAGAGAGCAACAGAGAGAGCCCGUGUAGGAGGGUCACUGAGAAAGAUGAAUUUAAAAUACAGAAAAGGAACGAGCAAAAAGAUCAUUUACCAGCUGGAAGAUCUGCGGUCAGUGAAAAGAUUAACGGCAGAUUUUGGCAAAAUCGUUAUGGCUUCACGACAGAUGGAGGGACAUUUUUAAAAAGUCUGGCAAAGGGUCACUCUCCGGAAACAGAUGCCCAAUGUAGGAAAAUACAUUAGCCCAGGUGACGGAUUUCUCGUUCACUGCUUUGCACACUGCACUGAGUGUCACGGCUCCCGCCAUGUCCCCAGUGUCCUUUGGGAAACAUUAAGAUUCUGCCUCAAAGCCUGAACAACUCACUCAAUGCUGCCAAGAUGCAUAGGCCAUGUGUAGCUGUCAUCCAGCUCAUGGCACGGUCUCCCUAAGCAGUAACUCGUUUAGAGCAUCUUGGCCUGGAGAGCAUGCAUGGAGGAAUACCCUACAGGGUUUGCUCAAACGGCUACAGCUUCCUGGAGUGUGGAAAUUACAUAUCAGAGAUGGGAAAGAAACAUGGACUGCAUCAGAGGAACCACCAGAUUCCUCCGUACACACCAGCCCUUUGUAUAGGAGCUUUUCAUCCAGAUCAUAACAUCCCUUAUAUUGGAAACCAAUAGGUUCUCUUUUUGUCCAACUCAAAUAUUUUCCUUCUCACUCUACAUUCAUCUACAGCUCCCUGCUUGAGCCUGACCCUCUACCACUGUCUUGACAACCGUGUGCAGUUUGAUUUCUGUAUCCCCCAAACCUUACAGAGUCAGUGUUCCUUAACUGCAUCACUGGCUCUCAGCAAUGGAUUACUCUAGACUUCUCACUCCCUUGGCUUAGCAUGGGAUACUCCUUUUUGCCAGUUCUGUCUCUUAGCCUCUCUCUCCAUCUUGCUUUUCUCUUCUUUCCAGACCCUCACAUUUUUUGGUGGCUUAUCAAGAUUUCCUCCCCCCGCCUUCUGCCUUUUCUCUAGACAUUCGUGUUUCUACCGAAGAUGGGCCUCUGUUGGAGAGUGAGCACCUUCAAACUAGAAAUCAGCACCAGUCUUCUACCUAUAGCGCAGACCUGGUAUUUCCAAAGCUGUAGUUGGCCAGCCAGGGUCGCUUUAAGUAAAUGCAUGAUCUUUAAUUCACUUCUCUUUUUAAAGUUUGCUCUCUGUUCCAAAUAUUCCAAUUUUGAAAAACAGACUAAUGUUGGACAGUGUCUUUGAGAAUCUCUAUGGGUCUUG